RNAcentral lists this ribosomal RNA (456 nucleotides) under uncultured bacterium. Its description in RNAcentral is "partial 16S ribosomal RNA". It matches the Rfam family "Bacterial small subunit ribosomal RNA", at positions 338 to 795 of the family's 1533-position model. The record is from RNAcentral.
CCUGGGUGGCUGCAGGGAGGAAGAUGGGUCAAGGGGAGAGAGCCGGAACCAGCAAAGUCGCGGGAGGGAGGACUGCCCUAUGGGUUGUAAACCUCUUUUGUCGGGGAGCAAAAGCCGGACGUGUCCGGCUGUGAGAGUACCCGAAGAAAAAGCAUCGGCUAACUCCGUGCCAGCAGCCGCGGUAAUACGGAGGAUGCGAGCGUUAUCCGGAUUUAUUGGGUUUAAAGGGUGCGCAGGCGGAUUUUUAAGUCAGCGGUCAAAUCGUGGGGCUCAACCCCAUCCAGCCGUUGAAACUGGGGAUCUAGAGUGUGCGAGAGGUAUGCGGAAUGCGUGGUGUAGCGGUGAAAUGCAUAGAUAUCACGCAGAACCCCGAUUGCGAAGGCAGCAUACCGGUGCACAACUGACGCUCAGGCACGAAAGCGUGGGUAUCGAACAGGAUUAGAUACCCUGGUAGUC